CUUUAGGGAGGGGGUGGGAGAGAGGUCUGGGGUCAGGGAGUCUUCGAGGCCCCCGCUGAGGGGACUGCGAAUCUACCAUUGAACCGUGCACCGGGGACAUGGACGAAAUGAGACGCGACACGGACAAGAGCAUUUUGCUCUGCUUCCAGGAAACAUCAAGUGAGUCCGGUCCUCAGUUCUCACAGGGGAGCCUGAUGGGGCUGAAGCGGGUCCCGCAGGGAUGGAGGGGGCGCUCAGGGUGCUGGGUGGGCUCAGGCGGCAGGGCCUCCCAGCACCCAAUGAGAGCUCUGCGGGCGGGGGCGUCCAGAGAGCGCUGGGGCCCCCCCGCACGUGUCGUGCGCUAGAGAGCAGGUCCCCCGGGUCCCCCGCCCGCAGAGCCUUCUCGGGGCUCUCCGAGGCCCUCGGCUCCCCACAGGCCGCUCCCUUCGCGUCCCCCCUCCCUUUCCAACGCCUUCACUCCGCUGGUUUUUCUUCCUCCUCCUCGGCACUGAGCUGAGACGCGCUGAGCAGUUUGCUCUCCUUUUUCCACUUCAUGCGCCGGUUCUGGAACCAGAUCUUGAUCUGCCGCUCGGUCAGGCACAGGGCGUGCGCGAUCUCGAUGCGCCGCCGCCGCGUCAGGUAGCGAUUGUAGUGAAACUCUUUCUCCAGCUCCAGCGUCUGGUAGCGCGUGUAGGUCUGGCGGCCGCGUCGGCCGCUGGGCCCAAAGGAGGAACCUGUUACGCAGAGAGAAGAUGCUGAGGCCUGGGGUCAGCGGGGCCAGAACCCCCUCCCCCACUCGACCCUCAGACAUGGACUCUAGCCUGUCCCGGGAUGCCCUCCGCUCUCCGAGAGUUCCCUGCUCCCCCCCCCCGCCCCCCUCUUUCACUCCUCCAGCGCCCCCUCCAGAUUCCCUCCGGGUCUCCCAGGCCUGUGCCUCUGGUCUAGACUCCAGGUGGGGGAUGGGAGGAGGGCUUAAAAUCCCACCUGAGCCGAGGGGGAGGGGCUGGGGAAGCACUGGCCAGGUGUGUCUCUUCCUAGCCUCAUCUUUUCUUUCCAUCUAUCUGGCUCCCCCACCACCCUGUGAUAGAUUCCAGCCCUUAAUCCGUAAUGACGUGGAUCGAUCCAUAGUCGGCAUUAACGGCUCCUCACUUUCGUGUCCCGCUAAUGGACAUCAAUUUGGGACUUCAGGCCGACAAAUAAUCCAACCUGAGACCCAGGCGCCUGCUUCUCCCUCUCUCCCCCUCCGCCUGCCUGCGCCUGCUCCCUCUCCCUUUCUUCCCCUUAUUCGCCCUCCCUCCUCUGACUACCACCCCUUUCCUGGUGCCUCCUCCCUCCCCAGCCCCGGGCCCCCAGGGAAACACAGUCCGGGACAGACUCAACUCUCCCUCGCCAGCGUCACGCCGCCCCCCUUCCUAUGACGCACUCCGUUUUUAAUGGAACCGUCUUCGGGUGGGGGACCCGACCAGGGCUGGGGGCACGAGGGAAAGCCACGCCAGUGGCUGCGGCCCCUGCCCCCUCCCCUGCCCCGGAAUCCGGCUCUGGCGUGGCGCUCCGGGAGAGCCCACUCGCUCCCCCUGGCUCCCAGUGCAGCUGGGACUUUGCAAACUUUGUAACUCCUGAGGGCCAGAGGACAGAGCGGGAGACCCGGGGCAGGCGCCCAGUCCUCCCUUAGCUCCUAACUGAGAUGCCCACCCAGCACCCCGGGGGGGGGCGGGGGCGGGAAGGAGGUGGGGGCGCUACUUCUGUCCCCGGGGGUGGGGGCCCGCGGGGGUCGGGGCGGCCGCGGGAGGGCUCACUCACUGUUGCACGAAUUCAUCCGCUGCAUCCACGGGUAGACCGGAGUGGAGCACUUCUGCUCCUCCGCCUCGCCGAACACGCUCUUGUCCUGCGCACAGUCUGACUUCCGCGGCUCAGGGUGGAACCGGGGCGGCUCUUCGGCGCCCGAGAGCGCGCAGGCCGACUCCUUCUCGCGGUAGAAGGCCGGCGCCGGCCCGUAGUCGCAGGGCGCCGCUCGGCCGUAGCCGCCGCCAGCGGGCGGGUAAUAGGAGGAAGCGGCAAAGCCCUUGUCCUGGCCGGGCCCGGGCCCGUAGGGCGCGGGGUAGUGCCUCAGCGGGUCCGCAUAGCCCGACGAGUAGAGCGGUAGCUGGCCCAGGAAGGACUCCUGCCCGCUGGCCAGAGUGACGGGGAAGGUGGAGUUCACGAAAUAGGAACUCAUUGGGAGGGGAGGCGCGCUCGGCCGCUGCUGCUCCGCCGGGUUUAUGAUUUGUUGUGUUUUAUAGUCCGAGCGCCGCGCCUAUUAGUAGUAUAUCUGAGAUUGGGUUUUAGCUGAGGGGGGAUGGCGAGGUGCCAGUGAGGGCCAGAAGGAAAUACAACCAUCUGAUCCAACACUGACCAAUGGCAGAGGCAGGAAUUGUCAAAUAGCACCCAGGAGGAGCGCAGCCCGCGCGAGGGACCCGCGCACAAACCUAUCAACCUUUUUUUUUUCCCUCCUUCUUCUCCUUCUCCUCUCUCUCUCUCUCUCUCUCUCCCCGACAACACAACGCGUCCUGUUCCACCUACGUAGGAUCUGCGAAAGAGGCGUCUGUGCCUUGGAGGGAGGAGGGAGCAUUUGGAUUGAGACCACCCCAUCCCCCAGUGAUUAAAUAAAUAUAUCCCUCCCCUCCCCACGCAGGAUAGGAAAAAGUUAAUUGUGUUUUCAGAAAAGUUAACCCCUGCGUGGCUUGAGCCCCGUUCCCUCAAGGGAAGGGUGGGUAAAUGUCCCCCGAAUGAAUCUCCGCGUGGUGAGGAGAGAACUGAAGGAAAAGGUUUGUUUCUAGGGUUUUGUGUAGUUAGAGAAGGAGAAGAGUUCACUGUUUAGCAUCGCUUUCAGAAAGAGAGGCGAAGAAGAGGAAGCACUCUCCUUCCCAGGUGAAAACUGUUUUUCCUGCUUCUCAGGUCUACUCUGUCUCCUCCAAGCCUGGGUUUAUUAUUCUCGCUUCUACACAAUUCUUAUGGUCUGAAGGGCAGGCCAGAGCCCAGAGGACCCAGAAGUCUGGGAAAUAGGCGGGUCUGAGCCCAAGGUUCUCCCUCCGGCUCUGUGGCUAGGUUAAGCUAAGCGAGGCUAGGAGCUUCUUGGAAGGCUACGGCGGCUGCCCAAGACGUCCUGCCUGGUUCCAGCAUCUGCUGCUUGCUCUUGGAAUGGGAAGGGGCACUGGGGAAAGGGAAUAGCCUUCUCUUCACUUGUGGGAUAGGGAGAGGAAGAGGAAGGGACAUCCCCCAGCCUAGGUUCCCCUGAUCCCUACCCUGCCUGCAACACUCACUCCACCCCCACCCCCUACCCCCCAAAUCAUUAGAAUAUCCUGGGCUACAGAUUCUUAAGAAUCAAAGAUAUCUCAGUACGUCUGGGUACAGGGAAGAAAUUGUUCCCCCUCCAAUCUGGGUCCUCAAAACUGCCUAAUAUUUGAGGCAAUCAGAGACAGCCGGGAAGAGAGGGGACCUUGCUCCUUUUCCAGGUCUCUCCAGAAGCUGGCAGGUCUCUUUAAAAUGAAUUUUUUCCCAAGACUCGGUUUGGGCUUAGUUUUAUAAGGAGGGAGAGGUGUUCAGGUCCUCCUGGGGACUCAGCAGGCAGCUUACAACUAUCAGCCCGAAUCCCCUCUCCAGAGGCUCACCACCCUUCUGUCAGACUCUCAGUGUCUCUCCAGUCCCUCCCACAUCUCAUAUUUGUAUCACCAGCUUUGCUGCUGCACAGGCUUGAGUGUGAGAAAGAGUGCUCAUCUCUGUUCCUCUCUCUCUUUCUCUCCCUCUCUCUCUCUCUCUCUCAUCUAAGGAAAAUGAGCCUUGAAGCCAGGCUGGAAGACUGAAUCACAAUGUUUUCAACAUUCUAACUAUGCACAUGGAAGCCAGGCACUAAAGGUCGAUAAUGUUCAGACCUGAGUUCAGGAAUGAGUCAGGAUGUGUGACAAAAUCUGAUGAUGAAGGGGCCAGCUGACUGUCUGCUAUCUCAUACUUUGGGUUCCUUUUUGUGGGCCAGGUUUGCCCACUAAAGAUGACACAAGAUACUAGGGAAAGUGGUUGGGAUACUAGGGAAAGGGCUGAGCUUGGUGACCAAAAGUGGGAAAUUGGUUGGUUGCACAGUGGCCUACAAGGAUCCCGGAACUCGGGAAUGCUUCUAGGCUAUACCUUCAUGGCCACAUAGUGAUCCCUGGAUGUCCCACCAAUCACUUCCUAGCCCAACUUGGGGGGGGGGGAAGGGGGUUAUCAAAAUUUAAGAAAAUAAACUCAAGUCUUCUAAUGAUGAAGAAUCCUAAGUGCCCCAAUCUAGCUGUGAUUGGGCCAACUCCUAGAGAGGAAUAGGGAACAUUUGGGCUGGGGGAGCAAGGUCAGGAGGGUGCCUGUAUGCACCUCCCUCCUCCUUGCCACUGAGGCUAGGCCUUGGGCCAUAUCUGUCCUGCCUCCUCCCUGGUCACAGUGUCCCCUUCCUAGAAAUGCACAAUGUGGGCUUUGCUGUGGAGUCGAGACUAAGUAGGAUGCUGUAAGACAGGGAGACUUCCCUGAUACAGAAGCAUGAAAAUAAUCUCCUUAUCCUUAGAGCCACAGCCCCAAAUUAACCUCACCUCUGCAGGUUGCCUGUCACGAGAUGGAGCCCGAAGCAGGGCCUGGGCGCCUGGAGUCCAGCAUGAAAAGAAAUAGCGCCUCAUCGCUCUUAUCUAAGCCCAGAGGUAUUUAUGAGCGUUUAUUCGUCUGAUCCGUUUGUUUGGGAGAAAGAGCAGACAGGGCCCGGCCAGAGGCCGCCUGGUCUCUGGAGCCAGAUCUCUACGAAUCUGUCUGUGGUUCGGUCCACUGCCGUCUGUCUGUCUCCAAGGGGGAAUAUGUAAAUACCCAGCAGGCACAGCCGUCUGCCAGUCUGGGGUGUCUCUCCCAGCCUCAUUGAGGAAGUGUGUAUAUAGAGAGAUGGAUAUAAAUGUGUACCAAGUCUUGACUACGCAACAGAAGGAUUGUACAGAAACCCCACAGGCAGAAUUUAUAAUUGUAAUAUUCUAUGCUGUAGAUCCGAGCUCCUCUGGAUGUGCACGCAUUUUCAUUUCCCAGGGAAAUGUCCGAGUUGUGCUCAGCAACUGAGUAAAAUUCUCCUGCACCGGUAACCUCAGGGAGGGGUUUUUGCCUGUAUGUGUACGGAGGAGAGGAGGAUUGAGACACUGUCCAAGUUUCCCAUUUCCUCACAGCUACAAAGCUCCCCCCACCUCCGGCUGAUUGGGUUGUGGACAUCUUCCCCCAGCCCACUCCCAAUUCUGGCUGGGAUGGAGCGAAUGAAAAUAACUUGACUCGAUUCUUCCCCUAGACUCUGUGAUUCUCUGAAUUUGGGAAACAUAAAUGUUCCCAGAGGGAGUUCCCAACCUAGGGGAGCUGUUUACUAGGGAUAUUGCCUUAAAAUUAGCCCGCCCAAAGCGCCGGUACAAAGACCUCAUUUCCAUUAUGCAAAUGAACGGCACCGUCUCUGAUCUUGGGGGGUGGGAUGGGCGGUGACGCUCAGCUCACUCUCCCUGUUCCAGGCACCCAGGUCCAUGGGCACCCCAGGAGCCCCAAAGUGUUUCAACCCCCUGUACCAGCCACCUUCCCUCCCUACCUGUCCUUCGGAUUGCUCACAAGAAAGAGGGGCCCGAGACUUUCCGGGCAGGCUCCCUCGGGGCCUCCGCACUGGGCCGGGCCUUCUGGCCUCGGAAAGUCACUCUUUCUGCCCAAAUGCUGAAAGGGCAGCUCUCCUGUGGUCCAGACUCUGGAGGCGCCACAGCCGCUGGGUUUGCCCCCCAGCACCGCCGGCCCCCCUCCACCUCGGCAGUUCUGGCCCAGACCCUAGUAACACCUCGGCCUGCCUGGCACCGCAGGCAAUUUCCUGGAGCCCCCGCCCAGGAACUGGGGCCACAGCACCUUGAAAGGAGCGGCCAGAGCUUCCUCCUGCGGCUUGAAAGCCCGAGCUAAUCAGUAACCCGUGAGA
Molecule: long non-coding RNA, 5950 nt
Filed under: Lynx pardinus (Iberian lynx)
Lineage: Eukaryota; Metazoa; Chordata; Mammalia; Carnivora; Felidae
Source: RNAcentral